Long non-coding RNA from Triticum aestivum (bread wheat), 602 nucleotides. RefSeq lists it as uncharacterized. The record is from RefSeq and is a predicted model, not a curated record. The transcript is spliced from 3 exons. NCBI's taxonomy places the organism in Eukaryota, Viridiplantae, Streptophyta, Magnoliopsida, Poales, Poaceae.
AGGGAUUAUCAAGUACAAGAAGAAGUGCGUGCAUGGGACGAGCAAGCUAAUUCCUGGAAGCGGACUUACUGCUAUGGUUGUGUUAAUGAUGACAGAGUGUUCCCAUCGUUGAAGCCAAACUGACAGAUGAGCCUGGUGUUGAUCCUUUUGCUCAAAGGAGGGAAGAGAAGAAGGGCAGCAUCGAUAAACAAGAAAAUAACAGACGUGGGAAUUUGAAGAACGGGCCAUCGUCGGAUUUUCUCGCAGGUGAGGGGAGGCGUUCAGGGGAUCGGCUACGAAGGCGCUGGCCACCAAGCGCCGAGCGGCAGCUAGCCUACAACGAAGAUCUGCACAAGGGCGCUACAAGAUCUGCAUGGACGUCCUAGAAUCCACCGGUCUGUAGUAACAUGAGUCCCACGCUCGGCCUCCUGCAAGGGCGACCUUUCCUACUCCCAAAAGCAGACCUGGUUCAAGAUCAGAGGCAACAAGUAAGCUCCUACUAUGUGUCUAUGUUAAUUUGUCAUCUCAGUAUAAUUCAUCCCCAUCCCACUACAUUUAGUUCAGUUCAGUUAAGUGAUUAGGCAUAAUGCGCGAAUGCAAGCAAGGUUGGGAUGAAUGGGUCG